GGAACCAAGAGAGGCACAGGACAGACAAGUAACCCUUUCCGCCCCUUUGGCUUUGGAGCUCAGAGCACCUGCCAGCCAGGUCCUGGAUCCUACCUUAGUCACGACCUCAGGAGCACAGAGGUCCCCUGCGGAGGAAUCCCAGGAACCUGCAAGGCUUCUGACCACACCCCAAAGGCAUCUCAGGGCAUUCGCUCCCUCUGCCAGCUGGGACCCUAGUCACCCUUCAGGGACCAGCUGAAAUCUGUAAAAUCUUGCCCAACUCUUCUAUCCCAAACUAGCCUUUCCUUCCUUUGUCUACACUGAGAAGUAUAUUACUAAUCUUUUAAGUUUCUCUCCACGGUCAGCCUUGGCCCCUAGUAGUGGCUUAAUAAGUAUGUACCACGUUGAACCAAACCAACACAUCUGAUCCGGCAGGUCCGUUCUUCCCAAGGUGGACCGCCAGCCCUCCUGGACACCUCACAUGAAUCAUCAUGACACUGACAGGUCUGGGGGUUGCCACAAAGAGCUUGUGCCCAAGUCAAACAAGGAGAUAGCUUUGACACAUGAAAAUCCAUCUUUGUAGGUAGAAAAAGACGUAAAGUAAUGACUCAGAGGAACACUGAAAAGACAAAGUCGUGUUACAUCUUCUUUUCAACGUUCCCAUUGUCCCUGUGUUAAAUAUCUAAGCACCAAGUUUUGCCCUUGAAAUGCUGUACUGGCUCCCAGCUUGGUGACUUUUUUUUUAUUGAAGUCUAGUUGAUUUACAAUGUUGUGUGAAUUACUACUGUACAGCGAAGUGACUCAGUUUUUGACUUUUUAAAAUGUUC
This is a long non-coding RNA of Aethalodelphis obliquidens (Pacific white-sided dolphin), 806 nucleotides long. RefSeq lists it as uncharacterized. The record is from RefSeq and is a predicted model, not a curated record. Lineage: Eukaryota; Metazoa; Chordata; Mammalia; Artiodactyla; Delphinidae. The transcript is spliced from 3 exons.